RNAcentral lists this long non-coding RNA (732 nucleotides) under Zonotrichia albicollis (white-throated sparrow). Its description in RNAcentral is "lncRNA (ENSZALG00000007568.1)". Lineage: Eukaryota; Metazoa; Chordata; Aves; Passeriformes; Passerellidae. The record is from RNAcentral.
AAUAAUCUUGUAUCAUCUUCAGGCUGUGUCACCUCACUACUCACCCUCAGCUUCCUUCGAAGACGCCUCGAGCAGCCUGUGUGCCCGUGACAAAGUGAGGGAACCCAGCAAAUGCUGCUUGCCAGCCUGCCAGGGAACUGCUCACUACAAUUUUCCCUGCUCCUGGCUGUGGUUGCCCAUGGGUGGCAGAACCAUCCGUCAGCCUACACAGAGACAGGAAAAGGCCCUGGCACCUCCCACUAGCUCUGUCUGGGGACUGCAGAGAUGAAGGUGCAACAGCAUCUCUGGGGAUGGCCUGGGAGCUGGGAAAUUACCAGCCCUGGGAGUGUGUCCUGUCAGAGGAGAAGCUGGAGGAGCUGGAUGCUGCUGCUGCUGCUGCUGCUGCUGUGCCCGGGUACCAGCAGGGCUGGGCAGGCAGGGCAGGAGUGCUGCAGCUCAGCCCUGCAGGGCUGCCAUGAUCUGCCUGCCACAUGCAACAGCCCCAAACCCUCCAGGAGCUUCCACACAGUGUCUCUCAAAGGGCUGCUUCUCCUCCCCAACACCCCACAGAUGUGUUAAGUGACACAGGGCCUGGCAGAGCCUGCAAGCCCCUGCAGCUGCCCUGUGCUGGGAUGACAGCUGCCCGUUUAUUCCUCCUCUGUUUUCUCUCUCUUGGUGAGCCUUUGAUCCAUGGCAAUACUUUGCCUCUCGCUCCACGACAACUUAAUUUCUAUAGUAACCUCCUGUGCUGGA